AACGGGCCGUCAUAGAGGGUGAGAAUCCCGUAUGGGACGGGGUGUCCGCGCCCGUGUGAAGCUCCUUCGACGAGUCGAGUUGUUUGGGAAUGCAGCUCUAAAUGGGUGGUAAAUUUCAUCUAAAGCUAAAUAUUGGCCGGAGACCGAUAGCGCACAAGUAGAGUGAUCGAAAGAUGAAAAGCACUUUGAAAAGAGAGUUAAAAAGCACGUGAAAUUGUUGAAAGGGAAGCGCUUGCGACCAGACUCGCCUACGGGGUUCAACCGGCAUUCGUGCCGGUGUACUUCCCCGUGGGCGGGCCAGCGUCGGUUUGGGCGGCCGGUCAAAGGCUCCCGGAAUGUAACGCCUCUCGGGGCGUCUUAUAGCCGGGGGUGCAAUGCGGCCUGCCUGGACCGAGGAACGCGCUUCGGCACGGACGCUGGCAUAAUGGUCGUAAGCGACCCGUCUUGAAACACGGACCAAGGAGUCUAACAUUUACGCGAGUGUUCGGGUGUCAAACCCGUACGCGCAGUGAAAGCGAACGGAGGUGGGAACCCUUACGGGUGCACCAUCGACCGAUCCUGAUGUCUUCGGAUGGAUUUGAGUAAGAGCGUAGCUGUUGGGACCCGAAAGAUGGUGAACUAUGCCUGAAUAGGGCGAAGCCAGAGGAAACUCUGGUGGAGGCUCGCAGCGGUUCUGACGUGCAAAUCGAAUCGUCGAAUUUGGGUAUAGGGGCGAAAGACUA
RNAcentral lists this ribosomal RNA (722 nucleotides) under Penicillium sp. O1b_PD003. RNAcentral describes it as "eukaryotic LSU rRNA". It matches the Rfam family "Eukaryotic large subunit ribosomal RNA", at positions 194 to 933 of the family's 3401-position model. Lineage: Eukaryota; Fungi; Ascomycota; Eurotiomycetes; Eurotiales; Aspergillaceae. The record is from RNAcentral.